CCAGAGCAACCAGGCCAGCCAGUGUGGCCAGACCAGCCACACCCCAGGAGUGCUCCCCCUUUCCAGCCGGGAGCCGACCAGCUGUCAGGAUGUCACAGAUCACUUUCCCAGCCUGCUGUGCAGAAGGCAGGCUGGACACGUGACCCAGUGACGUCCAGGUGGGAGUACCUGCUCAGUGAUGCUUUCUCCAGCCAAAAUGGAAACCCGGAGUCCAGCACCAGGAGCUCCAGUGAUCCUGCUAUGUGUGCCUCGAUAAACAAGCACCCACUUUUGAACUUCAUAUAAAUGGAAUGAGUGCUAAGGAGGGAGGAAAGCAAACCGAACCUUAGCGUGCGGUGAAUGAGCAAGAGGCGGAGAGGACUGCAUCAGAAAUACGCACUGUGACAUUUGGAGCCAUGUUCUGCCUCAAAACUAAAGCAUCUGCUGCACCUUCAGUAUUCCCUUAAG
Non-coding RNA from Microcebus murinus (gray mouse lemur), 447 nucleotides. NCBI's taxonomy places the organism in Eukaryota, Metazoa, Chordata, Mammalia, Primates, Cheirogaleidae. The record is from RefSeq and is a predicted model, not a curated record.